Molecule: ribosomal RNA, 253 nt
Filed under: uncultured bacterium
Lineage: Bacteria
Description: partial 16S ribosomal RNA
Rfam family: Bacterial small subunit ribosomal RNA
Source: RNAcentral
UACAGAGGUGGCAAGCGUUGUUCGGAAUUACUGGGCGUAAAGGGCGCGUAGGCGGUUCGUUAAGUCCUGUGUGAAAUCCCCCGGCUCAACUGGGGAACUGCACAGGAAACUAGCGGGCUUGAGUUCGGGAGAGGGAAGCGGAAUUCCGGGUGUAGCGGUGAAAUGCGUAGAGAUCGGAAAGAACACCAACGGCGAAAGCACUCUGCUGGGCCGACACUGACACUGAGAGACGAAAGCUAGGGGAGCGAAUGGG